RNAcentral lists this unclassified non-coding RNA (2287 nucleotides) under Hevea brasiliensis (rubber tree). Lineage: Eukaryota; Viridiplantae; Streptophyta; Magnoliopsida; Malpighiales; Euphorbiaceae. The record is from RNAcentral.
CUAACCCCCUAAUAUCUAGAAUAUUUGGCUUCGUUUUCCUUCACUUUCUUGUUGAUUUUUCCAUUAGGCCAUAUAAUAUGGGUUCAUUAUCGUCACCGUGUUCUUCGGUUUCUCCUGCAAAAUCGUCAAAUGCGGGAGAUUCCUACAUUGGGAGCUUUAUUAGUCUCAUUUCAAAGUCCGAGAUUCGCUACGAGGGCAUCCUCUAUCAUCUUAGCGUUCAAGAUUCCAUUAUUGGCCUCAAGAAUGUAAAGUCUUAUGGAACAGAAGGUCGAAAGAAAGAUGGCCCCCAAAUUUCCUCAAGCGAUAAGGUUUAUGAAUUCAUUCUUUUCCGUGGAAGUGAUAUUAAGGAUUUGCAAGUUAAGACUGCACCACCUGCACAAACUGAAGAACCAAUUCCUGAUGACCCUGCUAUCAUUCAGGUUUUGACUUUUGACUUUAUUUAAGGAAUUGUAACCUUUUGAAGUCUCUGAAUUAUGAGGUCAAAUUCAUGUUUUUAUUUAGAUUCUGGUUUUUGCUAUUUUGUAGUCACACUAUGCAGGGGUUCCUUUAAGUUCUUCAGCUUCAGUUGGUGGUAAAACUUUGGCAGAAUCUGCUCUGGUGCAAGAUAUGCCUGCUUUGACAAGCAGAGGCUAUCCGACUGCACUGACUUCGUUGCAGUCUGUAAACCAUGUUGGUUCAAAAAAUCUUUCCCAGGCUGCUGAAGAUUCUGGUCAAUCAUUUUCUAUGUCUAUGUAUUGGCAAGGAUAUAAUGGAACAUCAAUCAAUAGGUCUAAUACUUCCCAGCACUCUAUUCCUUUUCAACCCCCAUCCAUGGUUUCAUCUUCCUUGUCAGCACAGAAUCAGAUGCCUGCUGCAGCAUUGACUGAUUCUCCAAUAAUGGGAUUAACAAAUGCAUCAGAAUUUGCUACUCCUGUACCAUCUGUUGCCUCUAAUAAUUCAACUUUUAGUCCUGUACAAUAUUCUCUUUCUCAUGAUAUGCCAUCCUUCUCAUCUGUAAAAACGUCCCUACCAUCGCUUACUUCAUAUACUAAUAUUAAUAGGCAAACGGUAUCUUCAGUUCCAUACUCUAGUGAAGAUACAGGUCUCACUAAUGUUCAAAAUGUUAGUAAAGCUGUUUCUGACCCUAAAACAGUAUACACUGCCCAAUCUAUGCCUUACCCUAUAUCUUCUUAUGAGGCUUCUACUUCAAGCCCCUUGUUAACACCAGCUCCAUCUCUCUUAAGUCCUGAUCAAUUAGCACAGUCUAGAUCACAUGUGCUUUCUUCCAUGGUGUACCCUGAUCAGAAGAAUACGGAUCCUCUGACUCCUUUAUCAUCUACGUCACUGUCCUUUGUUCCUUCUCCAGCUUCUCAAGAACCAUUAUUGCCAUUGCCAAGUACUGUACAGAAGUUCACUGAAGAAUUUGAUUUUGAAGCCAUGAAUGAGAAGUUUAAAAAGGAUGAAGUUUGGGGUUAUCUUGGAAAGGCAAAUCGGGGAGAUAACACAGUGGGCACAGAGGACAACCAAGGCUUCGAGGACAAAGAGGUUCCUCGCCUGGUGCCUCAUUUUGAUGCUAAGCCUGCAUACAAGAAAGAUGAAUUCUUUGACACAAUUUCUUGUAAUACACUCAGCCAGGGAAGGAAUGGUCAGAACCGAUUCUCUAACCGAAUGACGCUAGAUAAUGAGACUUUUGGUUGGCGCAAUCAGAGACCUAAUCCUGGCUAUGGUGGAUGGGGUGCUGGACGUGGCUAUUACUAUCAUGGUAGACAUAAUGGGGGAAGGGGAUAUGGUUAUGGUGGGAGGGGGAAUGGGAACUUGCCUUUCUGAUGCAGCCCUUUCAAACCACCACCACACUCCUGCCCUCCCUUCUCAAGAGAUCCAUUUGUUUUUGUACAUCAUGGUCCACCUUUCAUUUCAGCUUGCCUUAUUUUUGAUAUUUUGCGUCGGAAGGAUUUAUCCUCAAGGUAAUAUGAUAACUACAUGAGGUAUCUAUAUCUGGUGAUUUUAAUGUUGAGAUACCUGGUAGGAACCAUUAAAUUGAACAAUUUGGCAAGUUCAUGUUUUUUUGGGUAAUGGGCUGCCUUUUCACUUUUAUUGUUAGAAGGAACAAUGCAAUUAGGUUUUCCAAUCGAUCUAUAUCUUGAACUCCUUUUCUACUUAGGUAUGCAUAUUUGUGCUCUGUAAAUUAUGGGCAGACAUUGUAUUGAUUUAGUGUUCUGGAAAUAUGCUAAGGUGGCGUUGGGAUGCCCCAUAUUAAUGAAAACAUUAUUAAAUUCAGCUGAUUAAUUUGAAUCAGUUUCGCUUUUCA